AGGCAGCAGUGGGGAAUUUUGGACAAUGGGCGCAAGCCUGAUCCAGCAAUGCCGCGUGAGUGAAGAAGGCCUUCGGGUUGUAAAGCUCUUUUGUCAGGGAAGAAACGGUGGGAGCUAAUAUCUCUCACUAAUGACGGUACCUGAAGAAUAAGCACCGGCUAACUACGUGCCAGCAGCCGCGGUAAUACGUAGGGUGCAAGCGUUAAUCGGAAUUACUGGGCGUAAAGCGUGCGCAGGCGGUUUUGUAAGUCUGAUGUGAAAUCCCCGGGCUCAACCUGGGAAUUGCAUUGGAGACUGCAAGGCUAGAAUCUGGCAGAGGGGGGUAGAAUUCCACGUGUAGCAGUGAAAUGCGUAGAUAUGUGGAGGAACACCGAUGGCGAAGGCAGCCCCCUGGGUCAAGAUUGACGCUCAUGCACGAAAGCGUGGGGAGCAAACAGGAUUAGACACCCUGGUAGUCCACGCCCUAAACGAUGUCUACUAGUUGUCGGGUCUUAAUUGACUUGGUAACGCAGCUAACGCGUGAAGUAGACCGCCUGGGGAGUACGGUCGCAAGAUUAAAACUCAAAGGAAUUGACGGGGACCCGCACAAGCGGUGGAUGAUGUGGAUUAAUUCGAUGCAACGCGAAAAACCUUACCUACCCUUGACAUGGCUGGAAUCCUUGAGAGAUCAGGGAGUGCUCGAAAGAGAACCAGUACACAGGUGCUGCAUGGCUGUCGUCAGCUCGUGUCGUGAGAUGUUGGGUUAAGUCCCGCAACGAGCGCAACCC
RNAcentral lists this ribosomal RNA (767 nucleotides) under uncultured bacterium. RNAcentral describes it as "bacterial SSU rRNA". It matches the Rfam family "Bacterial small subunit ribosomal RNA", at positions 346 to 1104 of the family's 1533-position model. The record is from RNAcentral.